This 337-nucleotide ribosomal RNA is filed under the name uncultured bacterium. Its description in RNAcentral is "bacterial SSU rRNA". It matches the Rfam family "Bacterial small subunit ribosomal RNA", at positions 786 to 1121 of the family's 1533-position model. The record is from RNAcentral.
CCUGGUAGUCCACGCCCUAAACGAUGUCAACUAGCUGUUGGGGCCUUCGGGCCUUGGUAGCGCAGCUAACGCGUGAAGUUGACCGCCUGGGGAGUACGGUCGCAAGAUUAAAACUCAAAGGAAUUGACGGGGACCCGCACAAGCGGUGGAUGAUGUGGAUUAAUUCGAUGCAACGCGAAAAACCUUACCUACCCUUGACAUGUCUGGAAUGCCGAAGAGAUUUGGCAGUGCUCGCAAGAGAACCGGAACACAGGUGCUGCAUGGCUGUCGUCAGCUCGUGUCGUGAGAUGUUGGGUUAAGUCCCGCAACGAGCGCAACCCUUGUCAUUAGUUGCUAC